AACGAACGCUGGCGGCAUGCCUAACACAUGCAAGUCGAACGAGACCUUCGGGUCUAGUGGCGCACGGGUGCGUAACGCGUGGGAACCUGCCCUUAGGUUCGGAAUAACUCCCCGAAAGGGGUGCUAAUACCGGAUAAUGUCUUCGGACCAAAGAUUUAUCGCCUUUGGAUGGGCCCGCGUUGGAUUAGCUGGUUGGUAGGGUAAAAGCCUACCAAGGAGACGAUCCUUAGCUGGUCUGAGAGGAUGAUCAGCCACACUGGGACUGAGACACGGCCCAGAAUCCUACGGGAGGCAGCAGUGGGGAAUAUUGGACAAUGGGGGAAAGCCUGAUCCAGCAAUGCCGCGUGAGUGAUGAAGGCCGUAGGGUUGUAAAGCUCUUUUACCCGGGAUGAUAAUGACAGUACCGGGAGAAUAAGCUCCGGCUAACUACGUG
RNAcentral lists this ribosomal RNA (433 nucleotides) under uncultured bacterium. RNAcentral describes it as "partial 16S ribosomal RNA". It matches the Rfam family "Bacterial small subunit ribosomal RNA", at positions 29 to 507 of the family's 1533-position model. The record is from RNAcentral.